This 30-nucleotide non-coding RNA is filed under the name Mus musculus (house mouse). The record is from RNAcentral. Lineage: Eukaryota; Metazoa; Chordata; Mammalia; Rodentia; Muridae.
UAAAUUUGAAGACAGCCGGUUUCCCCCGGG